GGGAACGCAGCUCAGCAUCAGAGCAUCUGCUUUGCAUGCAGAAGGUCCCUGGUUCAAGCCCCAGCAGCAUUUCCA
This is a non-coding RNA of Podarcis lilfordi (Lilford's wall lizard), 75 nucleotides long. The record is from the annotation of a GenBank genome assembly. Lineage: Eukaryota; Metazoa; Chordata; Lepidosauria; Squamata; Lacertidae.